This 674-nucleotide ribosomal RNA is filed under the name Sorineuchora nigra. RNAcentral's name for it is "eukaryotic LSU rRNA". It matches the Rfam family "Eukaryotic large subunit ribosomal RNA", at positions 698 to 1167 of the family's 3401-position model. Lineage: Eukaryota; Metazoa; Arthropoda; Insecta; Blattodea; Pseudophyllodromiidae. The record is from RNAcentral.
CGAUCUAACCCAUUCGGCGGAGCGAAAGCGAACUGAGUGUCUCGCAAUAUUCUAAUCGGACGAUGGCUCGUCGGUUUAAAGCCGGGCAACCAGUUGCCGGCCCGCAGCCCGCAGUCCAGGGGUGGCCCGGUCGACGAGUUCGGCGCGCGGUCGCACCCCCAGAGCGCACACGUUGGGACCCGAAAGAUGGUGAACUAUGCCUGGCCAGGACGAAGACAGGGGAAACUCUGGUGGAGGUCCGAAGCGCUUCUGACGUGCAGAUCGAUCGCCAGAGCUGGGCAUAGCGGCGAAAGACCAAUCGAACCAUCUAGUAGCUGGCUCCCUCCGAAGUUUCCCUCAGGAUAGCUGACACAAACAUGGAUCGCACAGGAGUCUCAUCUGGUCAAGCGAAUGAUUAGAGGACCUUGGGGCCGAAACGGCCUCAACCUAUUCUCAAACUUUAAAUUGGUGAGAUUGACGGCUUGCCUGAACAUGUGCAGGCACAGAGUACCGUUGCAAAUACAGGUCUACGGACCGAGAGGACACGAAGCCGCCAACCAAAGAGAAUAUAUAUGAGAAAAAAAAGUGCUGGGGAUAGACCCCACGCACCAAAGAGACUAUAAAUAUAAAGAAACGUGGAUCAUGUGUGUCUAGUGGGCCAUUUUUGGUAAGCAGAACUGGCGCCGUGGGAUGAA